GACGAACGCUGGCGGCGUGCCUAACACAUGCAAGUCGAACGGAGAUUUCAGUAAUGAAAUCUUAGUGGCGAACGGGUGAGUAACGCGUAGACAACCUGCCUUUUAGAUGGGGACAACACCGCGAAAGUGGUGCUAAUACCGAAUGUCGUAUUUUGGUUGCAUGAUCGAAAUACUAAAGAUGGCCUCUAUUUAUAUGCUAUCGCUAAAAGAUGGGUCUGCGUCUGAUUAGCUAGUUGGUGAGGUAAUGGCUCACCAAGGCGACGAUCAGUAGCCGGUCUGAGAGGAUGAACGGCCACACUGGGACUGAGACACGGCCCAGACUCCUACGGGAGGCAGCAGUGGGGAAUCUUCCGCAAUGGACGAAAGUCUGACGGAGCAACGCCGCGUGAGUGAAGAAGGUUUUCGGAUCGUAAAACUCUGUUUUCAGGGGCGAAUGUGCGAUGUGUAAAUAAUGCAUUGUAAUGACGGUACCUGAGUAGAAAGCCACGGCUAACUACGUGCCAGCCGCCGCGGUAA
Molecule: ribosomal RNA, 516 nt
Filed under: uncultured bacterium
Lineage: Bacteria
Description: partial 16S ribosomal RNA
Rfam family: Bacterial small subunit ribosomal RNA
Source: RNAcentral